Molecule: ribosomal RNA, 108 nt
Filed under: Calicophoron daubneyi
Lineage: Eukaryota; Metazoa; Platyhelminthes; Trematoda; Plagiorchiida; Paramphistomidae
Description: partial 5.8 ribosomal RNA
Rfam family: 5.8S ribosomal RNA
About the family: 5.8S ribosomal RNA (5.8S rRNA) is a component of the large subunit of the eukaryotic ribosome.
Source: RNAcentral
CCAACUGUGUGAAUUAAUGUGAACUGCAUACUGCUUUGAACAUCGACGUCUUGAACGCACAUUGCGGCCACGGGUUUUCCUGUGGCCACGCCUGCCCGAGGGUCGGCU